Non-coding RNA from Camelina sativa (false flax), 1337 nucleotides. Lineage: Eukaryota; Viridiplantae; Streptophyta; Magnoliopsida; Brassicales; Brassicaceae. The record is from RefSeq and is a predicted model, not a curated record.
AAAAAUCUUGAAGGAUCCCUUCCUAAUUUUUUUUUGGAUUCUUUUAAAUUUGGGUUGGCAAAAGAAUAUGAGAUUGAUUCCUUCUAAUUUGAUUCAUCUUUUUCGACUAAAAUCAUGGCAAAAGAAAAAAAUUGAUCAGAGCUAGACAAUUGUUCUCUGAGCUUACUGUUCACUUUCUCUCUCAAAAACAAAUUUGUAGAUCUAGUUUUUAUUUGGCGUGAAUUUCGUUUUCUUAUGGUUGAUUGUUACUAUUUUCUUAUGGUUGAUCGUUUUCUUCUUAAGUUGCUCUUAUUUUUAUUUUUAUUUUUUUGGUUUAGAUCCACCGGCAAAAUCAUUGAGAACAAAAAAAAAAAAAAAGCUUCUAUUUGUUAUUCUCUCAAUUGUUUCUAUUUUUCAUUUCUCUUCUUUCUUCUUCUUCUUCUUCUUCUUCUUCAUCAGCUCUUUGAUUUUUUUGAAUCUUGAUCUGUGAGGAAAGACUCUUUGAAUCUCUCUAUCUCUCUGCUCAAGACGUGAAUUUGAGGCAAACCCAUUACGAAUGGAUCAACUCCUUCUACUUCAUUGGCUAUCACAAGACCAGCGUCCUCAGCUGCUGAUCAGGGUUUGAUGAUUCUCCAAUCUCCAAAAGUAGGGUUCUACAGGAGAUCCAAAACUAUAAAGGGUAAACGCAUGCCUUCGUCAUGUAAAGAGAAAGACCAAGUGAAAGAAGGUCAAAUUCUGUGCUACAUUGAACAACUCGGUGGCCAAUUCCAAGUCUUCUUCGUGUAAUGAUUUUUUAUUUUCUCGUUUACUCAUAUGGAACAGAGCCUGUAGGAUACAAUGAUGCUCUCAUCUCGAUCCUUCCCUCUUUCCCUGGGAUUAAGAAGCUUCAAGAAGAAAAAAAUGGUCAUCUGAGGAGGAUGAGGAGCUCAUUGCUGCUGUGAAGCGACAUGGUGAAGGCAGCUGGGCCCUUAUUGCUAAGGAAGAAUUUGAAGGAGAGCGAACACCCUCACAACUCUCACAGGUUUUAAUUUCACUGGGCUGAUCUUGUUUCCUCGUUUUCCUCAUAUCUUUGAAUUAUCUCUUCAAGAACAUUAUGCAAUCUUUCCUGUUUAUUGCUUUGUGUCACAUGCACGGUCUUUCUUUGCCAUCACACGCAGAGAGCUAUUUUCGUAGUCACAGAAUUAUGGUAAAGGAAUUUGAGCUUCAUUGUAGUGUCUCUCUAAUUUCGCUGUAACUAAAAUGAGUUUGAACUAUGAUUUAGAGUGUGUAGCGACUUGACAUGAGGGGUGAUGGUCUAUAACUAAUUAUACAUAUUUGUCCAGUUGUACUCUCAUAUUCAUAGUUGAAUUUUUGCAUUU